RNAcentral lists this ribosomal RNA (320 nucleotides) under uncultured Prevotella sp. RNAcentral's name for it is "bacterial SSU rRNA". It matches the Rfam family "Bacterial small subunit ribosomal RNA", at positions 28 to 339 of the family's 1533-position model. The record is from RNAcentral. Lineage: Bacteria; Pseudomonadati; Bacteroidota; Bacteroidia; Bacteroidales; Prevotellaceae.
GAUGAACGCUAGCUACAGGCUUAACACAUGCAAGUCGAGGGGCAGCAUGAUCUUAGCUUGCUAAGAUUGAUGGCGACCGGCGCACGGGUGAGUAACGCGUAUCCAACCUUCCCUAUAGUAGAGGAUAGCCCGGCGAAAGUCGGAUUAAUACUCUAUGUUAUUCAAUGCGGACAUCUAAGUUGAAUCAAAGGUUUACCGCUAUAGGAUGGGGAUGCGUCUGAUUAGGUUGUUGGCGGGGUAACGGCCCACCAAGCCAUCGAUCAGUAGGGGUUCUGAGAGGAAGGUCCCCCACAUUGGAACUGAGACACGGUCCAAACUCC